RNAcentral lists this ribosomal RNA (468 nucleotides) under uncultured bacterium. Its description in RNAcentral is "partial 16S ribosomal RNA". It matches the Rfam family "Bacterial small subunit ribosomal RNA", at positions 28 to 507 of the family's 1533-position model. The record is from RNAcentral.
GACGAACGCUGGCGGCGUGCUUAACACAUGCAAGUCGAACGGAAAGGCCCUGCUUUUGUGGGGUGCUCGAGUGGCGAACGGGUGAGUAACACGUGAGUAACCUGCCCUUGACUUUGGGAUAACUUCAGGAAACUGGGGCUAAUACCGGAUAGGAGCUCCUGCUGCAUGGUGGGGGUUGGAAAGUUUCGGCGGUUGGGGAUGGACUCGCGGCUUAUCAGCUUGUUGGUGGGGUAGUGGCUUACCAAGGCUUUGACGGGUAGCCGGCCUGAGAGGGUGACCGGCCACAUUGGGACGGAGAUACGGCCCAGACUCAUCCGGGAGGCAGCAGUGGGGAAUAUUGCACAAUGGGCGGAAGCCUGAUGCAGCAACGCCGCGUGCGGGAUGACGGCAUUCGGGUUGUAAACCGCUUUCGCCUGUGACGAAGCGUGAGUGACGGUAAUGGGUAAAGAAGCACCGGCUAACUACGUG